This 1302-nucleotide ribosomal RNA is filed under the name gut metagenome. Its description in RNAcentral is "bacterial LSU rRNA". It matches the Rfam family "Bacterial large subunit ribosomal RNA", at positions 1265 to 2589 of the family's 2925-position model. The record is from RNAcentral.
AAGGAGCUGUGGACUGCAUGGAAGAGAGAAUGCCGGAAUGAGUAGCGAGAUAGAGGUGAGAAUCCUCUAGGCCGAAUAUCCAAGGUUUCCAGGGUAAAGCUGAUCUGCCCUGGGUAAGUCGGGGCCUAAGGUGAGGACGAGAGUCGUAGCCGAUGGACAACAGGUGGAGAUUCCUGUACUAUGAUAUGACAGAACUGUGGGGACACGUGCAGAGAGCGGAAGCCGGGAAUGGAAUCCCGGUGCAAGCGAGGUACCAGUCGCAUUGGAAAAACCGUGCGGCAAUGGGAAGACGUGAUGCGGAGUGAAAUAUAGUAACGAAGUCCGUGAGCUGUGCGUCAAGAAAAGCCGCUAUUGUUCAUACCAUACCCGUACCGUAAACCGACACAGGUGGAUGAGGAGAGAAUCCUAAGGCCGGCGGAAGAAGCAUUGUCAAGGAACUCGGCAAAAUGACCCCGUAACUUCGGGAGAAGGGGUGCCACUGAGAAGUGGCCGCAGAGAAUAGGCUCAAGCAACUGUUUAGCAAAAACACAGGUCUAUGCGAAACCGUAAGGUGAGGUAUAUGGGCUGACGCCUGCCCGGUGCUGGAAGGUUAAGAGGAGAGGUUAGCGCAAGCGAAGCUUUGAAUUUAAGCCCCAGUAAACGGCGGCCGUAACUAUAACGGUCCUAAGGUAGCGAAAUUCCUUGUCGGGUAAGUUCCGACCCGCACGAAAGGCGUAAUGAUUUGAGCGCUGUCUCGACAAUGCAUCCGGUGAAAUUGAAGUACCAGUGAAGAUGCUGGUUACCUGCGCCAGGACGGAAAGACCCCAUGGAGCUUUACUCCAGUUUGGUACUGGGAUCCGGUACUGCAUGUACAGGAUAGGUGGGAGGCUAUGAAAUGGUAACGCCAGUUGCCAUGGAGCCGCUGUUGGGAUACCACCCUUGCAGUAUUGGGUUUCUAACCAGCCGCCGUGAUCCGGCGGUGGGACAAUGCCAGACGGGGAGUUUGACUGGGGCGGUCGCCUCCGAAAGGGUAUCGGAGGCGCCCAAAGGUUCCCUCAGGAUGGACGGAAACCAUCCAAAGAGUGCAAAGGCAGAAGGGAGCUUGACUGCGACACCGACGGGUGGAGCAGGUACGAAAGUAGGGCUUAGUGAUCCGGUGGUAUUAAGUGGGAAUGCCAUCGCUCAACGGAUAAAAGCUACCCUGGGGAUAACAGGCUUAUCACUCCCAAGAGUUCACAUCGACGGAGUGGUUUGGCACCUCGAUGUCGGCUCAUCGCAUCCUGGGGCUGUAGUAGGUCCCAAGGGUUGGGCUGUUCGCCCAUU